GAUGAACGCUGGCGGCGUGCCUAAUACAUGCAAGUCGAGCGAACAGACGAGGAGCUUGCUCCUCUGACGUUAGCGGCGGACGGGUGAGUAACACGUGGAUAACCUACCUAUAAGACUGGGAUAACUUCGGGAAACCGGAGCUAAUACCGGAUAAUAUAUUGAACCGCAUGGUUCAAUAGUGAAAGACGGUUUUGCUGUCACUUAUAGAUGGAUCCGCGCCGCAUUAGCUAGUUGGUAAGGUAACGGCUUACCAAGGCGACGAUGCGUAGCCGACCUGAGAGGGUGAUCGGCCACACUGGAACUGAGACACGGUCCAGACUCCUACGGGAGGCAGCAGUAGGGAAUCUUCCGCAAGGGGCGAAAGCCUGACGGAGCAACGCCGCGGGAGUGAUGAAGGUCUUCGGAUCGUAAAACUCUGUUAUUAGGGAAGAACAAAUGUGUAAGUAACUAUGCACGUCUUGACGGUACCUAAUCAGAAAGCCACGGCUAACUACGUG
Molecule: ribosomal RNA, 497 nt
Filed under: uncultured bacterium
Lineage: Bacteria
Description: partial 16S ribosomal RNA
Rfam family: Bacterial small subunit ribosomal RNA
Source: RNAcentral